CAGAAGAAGAUGAAAAAUCGACAGUUUGGUAGGAUGCCACAAAACAUGCUCUGGUCAGGUCCAAAACUAUGCCUAAACAGAAGAAAUGCAAGAAAGGUUUAUCCAUCUGAAUAAUUAAAUCACUGCAGAUGCAUAAUAAAGAUGAUGUAUAUUAAGUUAACAAACUGCAAGAUCAAAAGAAGUCGCCCUUCUCCCCCAGCUGUCUCAAGAGAUAUCUGGAACUGACUAAAAACUUAUAUAUGCAAACCCAUCCUGGGGCUCUAUUCAGACCUAUUUUUCUGUCUUAUCACUUAGCUGCCAAGUCUAUCCCAAUGAGUUUAGAAACACGAGUGGGAAACUGAAGAAUUUUGGAAUACAUGCCACAUCACAAUUCUGCUCUUCCAUAGGUUUCUAGUCAAAAAUGAUUCAGUUUAAACCUUGACUUGCAAUUCAGACU
This 436-nucleotide long non-coding RNA is filed under the name Gallus gallus (chicken). Lineage: Eukaryota; Metazoa; Chordata; Aves; Galliformes; Phasianidae. The record is from RNAcentral.